AUAAUGGGUCAGCGACUUAUAUUCUGUAGCAAGGUUAACCGAAUAGGGGAGCCGAAGGGAAACCGAGUCUUAACUGGGCGUUAAGUUGCAGGGUAUAGACCCGAAACCCGGUGAUCUAGCCAUGGGCAGGUUGAAGGUUGGGUAACACUAACUGGAGGACCGAACCGACUAAUGUUGAAAAAUUAGCGGAUGACUUGUGGCUGGGGGUGAAAGGCCAAUCAAACCGGGAGAUAGCUGGUUCUCCCCGAAAGCUAUUUAGGUAGCGCCUCGUGAAUUCAUCUCCGGGGGUAGAGCACUGUUUCGGCAAGGGGGUCAUCCCGACUUACCAACCCGAUGCAAACUGCGAAUACCGGAGAAUGUUAUCACGGGAGACACACGGCGGGUGCUAACGUCCGUCGUGAAGAGGGAAACAACCCAGACCGCCAGCUAAGGUCCCAAAGUCAUGGUUAAGUGGGAAACGAUGUGGGAAGGCCCAGACAGCCAGGAUGUUGGCUUAGAAGCAGCCAUCAUUUAAAGAAAGCGUAAUAGCUCACUGGUCGAGUCGGCCUGCGCGGAAGAUGUAACGGGGCUAAACCAUGCACCGAAGCUGCGGCAGCGACGCUGAUGCGUUGUUGGGUAGGGGAGCGUUCUGUAAGCCUGUGAAG
This 644-nucleotide ribosomal RNA is filed under the name Escherichia coli. RNAcentral describes it as "partial 23S ribosomal RNA". It matches the Rfam family "Bacterial large subunit ribosomal RNA", at positions 612 to 1255 of the family's 2925-position model. Lineage: Bacteria; Pseudomonadati; Pseudomonadota; Gammaproteobacteria; Enterobacterales; Enterobacteriaceae. The record is from RNAcentral.